This is a non-coding RNA of Paramuricea clavata, 227 nucleotides long. The record is from the annotation of a GenBank genome assembly. Lineage: Eukaryota; Metazoa; Cnidaria; Anthozoa; Malacalcyonacea; Plexauridae.
AAAGAACUAAAUGAAAAUACAAACAAAAGCACUAAAUUUUGGUUGAAAGUCUGGCACGACUGGGCUUUGGCGAGAGAAUAUGAUGUUGACAUUGAGAAGUAUCCAAUUUUGUCAUGCUAAUAAUAAACAAGUAUUCAUGCGAUGUUGUUCGUACAAUUAGGGAUUAAUAGUACUCGUGAUGUUUGGAAAUUUCCCAAAUUGGACUCGCCCCGGCAGCUCGUCCAAUU